CAGCAGCCACGGUAAUACGUAGGUGGCAAGCGUUGUCCGGAACUAUUGGGCGUAAAGGGCUCGCAGGCGGUUUCUUAAGUCUGAUGUGAAAGCCCCCGGCUCAACCGGGGAGGGUCAUUGGAAACUGGGAAACUUGAGUGCAGAAGAGGAGAGUGGAAUUCCACGUGUAGCGGUGAAAUGCGUAGAGAUGUGGAGGAACACCAGUGGCGAAGGCGACUCUCUGGUCUGUAACUGACGCUGAGGAGCGAAAGCGUGGGGAGCGAACAGGAUUAGAGACCCCCGUAGUCCCUGUCUCUUAUCA
This 301-nucleotide ribosomal RNA is filed under the name uncultured bacterium. Its description in RNAcentral is "partial 16S ribosomal RNA". It matches the Rfam family "Bacterial small subunit ribosomal RNA", at positions 509 to 809 of the family's 1533-position model. The record is from RNAcentral.